GUGGCUGUAGCUCAGCAGGUAGAGCGCCGGAUUGUGGGUCCGGAUGCCGCGGGUUCAAGUCCCGUCAGCCACCCCA
This 76-nucleotide transfer RNA is filed under the name Microbacterium sp. RNAcentral describes it as "tRNA-His". It matches the Rfam family "tRNA". Rfam says of the family: Transfer RNA (tRNA) molecules are approximately 80 nucleotides in length. Their secondary structure includes four short double-helical elements and three loops (D, anti-codon, and T loops). The record is from RNAcentral. Lineage: Bacteria; Bacillati; Actinomycetota; Actinomycetes; Micrococcales; Microbacteriaceae.